AUAUUCCAUGUUAAUCUUUUUUAGAUCAAUCUUGAUCAUGUCUUAAUUGAGAGUAUUGAGAUCCUAAUACUAAUUAAUAAUUAAUUGAGUUCAAAUAGAAAUAAAAUAUAUUUUUUUAUCACUUUCAUAUCUUCUUCAUACACUUUGUACAACUUCUUUAUACACUUAUUUCACUUAUAUUCUUUUACGCAUUCUAAUGCUC
This 202-nucleotide long non-coding RNA is filed under the name Phaseolus vulgaris (common bean). RNAcentral describes it as "long non-coding RNA (PVUL_LNC000827)". The record is from RNAcentral. Lineage: Eukaryota; Viridiplantae; Streptophyta; Magnoliopsida; Fabales; Fabaceae.